UUAAUCAAAAAUUAUUAUUUAUUAAUUCCAAAAAUUGGAUAUUGUUUCUGAUUGUCAGAUUAAUAAGGAAAUAAUAUCAAGAAAUAUGAUGGUUUCAAUAACAAAGGAAAUAUAUCAAGCAUACACGAGGUAAACUUCUCUAAAUCAAAUUUUAUGCAAAUAGAUUGCUUAAAAGAUUUACAUGUGACUGUCACUAACAAGCGGCUUUUAGUUAAAUACCUUUUCUCUGUACAGACUACAAAACAAAAUCGUAGUAUACUUUUUUUAGAUAACAAUUCCAACAUGACAAAAUUAAAAAUUACACUUGUGCUGCGGAUAUACAAAUAUAGAGAAGCCUGCGGUGAAAAAAAUGUUUUCAUAUUGUACCAAAAACAAAAAGUGUAAGUUUAUGUAUAUUGAACUAAAUACAAAUUGUGUAACUUUAUACA
This is a long non-coding RNA of Pogonomyrmex barbatus (red harvester ant), 428 nucleotides long. The record is from RefSeq and is a predicted model, not a curated record. Lineage: Eukaryota; Metazoa; Arthropoda; Insecta; Hymenoptera; Formicidae.